This 1310-nucleotide unclassified non-coding RNA is filed under the name Bombus terrestris (buff-tailed bumblebee). RNAcentral describes it as "misc RNA ENSBTSG00005019553.1". Lineage: Eukaryota; Metazoa; Arthropoda; Insecta; Hymenoptera; Apidae. The record is from RNAcentral.
GACAAGCUAAUCUAAUUCGGCCACCGUUCGCGUUUCUCGAUCUUUGGCGUUUCGUGUCUUACAUUAAUUACGAUUCGCAAAGCGUGAAUAGAUAAGCCUUUGGUUUGGAAUAUUUCAUGCGGUACACGGCUGCCAGCUUCGAUAUUUUUUAAUUAAAGCGAGGCAAAGUACGGAUUCGAGAAUAGUAUUUAAUUCUACCCCAACGAAGGGGUUAAUUAUUAUUAAACGAAAGCGGAGCGAGGAAUCGCGUCAAAGCGGCAAUCUCGGGUAAUAAGAAAAAGUAGAAAGAGAGAAACAAAAUGAAAAGUAACACCCCAUGGAGUAUGCUCGAUCGAACAAGGUCACGUUUAAACGUAGAAAAUUUCAAUGCAAUUUUCAAAAUUUUCUACAACAUAAUCCUCGUAUAUCAAUCCUGCAACUUCUUCGACCAAGUAACGUAUCGGAUUAAAACCAUAUUUUCGCCCGAGAGAGAAGUAGAUGGGCAAAAAACCUGGAAAAAGGUGCAUUCACCGUUCGAAUCUCAUUUCAGCCGAAUGGAACGGGGGAUCUAAUCGCGUGGCUCAAAAUCUAGCAAUGGUCAUCUCUGCGGUUCCGUCGUUCGAUAGAAAUUCGAUAUUGACUCGAGAACGAUCCGCCGUUCGACAAAUACAUAUCGAAAGCAACAAGAGGAGCACAGCAUGAUAGUAGACGGGACAUACGUAACGUCGGAGAAAAAGGAGAUAAAAUUACACGGGAGAAUCGAGGUUUCGUGAUGUCUAGGUACAACCGUGUUGUCGCUGUUCACGAGCAUCCUCCGGUACCGCGCUACCCUCAAACUACCCUCGCCAGAGUGUAUACUGUAUGUAUGUCGAGCAAGUUUAUGCAGCGCAGCUGACUAUGAUAUCGCAUCUUUCUGUACACGCACACGUGCACUACAGAGUUUACUAUGGGGCGUUUAUGCAUAUGGCGCCAUUAUCGUGUAUCUUGCACCCCUCCAUUCGAAGUCGUCUUUCUAAUAUACUUCCGCAUAAAUCUAAUUAUGCUCGUUAGUAAUGCGUAGACUAGAAUUAUGCGGUCUCUGUUUGCUUAACGUUCGUCUUCUUGUCGUUGCACGCGCCACUCGUAAAUUAGCCUAAUUAAAUGCGAUGUCUUACAUCGACUAUUAAAUUCGCGGCGACGUUCACGGCUAACGCGGAAAUAUACUGUCAAGUCGACGAAUAAACGAGGUGACAUUUGAUAACGGCAAGUAAUUCUCGUUAACUAUCUAAUUCUUAAUUUUAAUUAGAGAUCGUUUAUCUUACAACAAAAAAAAAGGAAAAAAGAAAAGAAGA